This 435-nucleotide ribosomal RNA is filed under the name uncultured bacterium. Its description in RNAcentral is "bacterial SSU rRNA". It matches the Rfam family "Bacterial small subunit ribosomal RNA", at positions 954 to 1390 of the family's 1533-position model. The record is from RNAcentral.
AUGGGAACGCGAAGAACCUUACCUAGACUUGACAUCUCCUGAAUAGUGUAGAGAUACAUGAAGCCCUUCGGGGCAGGAAGACAGGUGGUGCAUGGUUGUCGUCAGCUCGUGUCGUGAGAUGUUGGGUUAAGUCCCGCAACGAGCGCAACCCUUAUUACUAGUUGCUACCAUUAAGUUGAGCACUCUAGUGAGACUGCCCGGGGUUAACCGGGAGGAAGGCGGGGAUGACGUCAAAUCAUCAUGCCCCUUAUGUCUAGGGCAACACACGUGCUACAAUGGUGAGUACAGAUAGAUGCGAUACCGCAAGGUGGAGCCAAACUCUAAAACUCAUCCCAGUUCGGAUUGUAGGCUGCAACUCGCCUACAUGAAGUUGGAGUUGCUAGUAAUCGCGAAUCAGAAUGUCGCGGUGAAUACGUUCCCGGGUCUUGUACACAC